UACGUAGGGUCCGAGCGUUGUCCGGAAUUACUGGGCGUAAAGAGCUCGUAGGUGGUUUGUCGCGUUGUUCGUGAAAACUCACAGCUCAACUGUGGGCGUGCGGGCGAUACGGGCAGACUGGAGUACUGCAGGGGAGACUGGAAUUCCUGGUGUAGCGGUGGAAUGCGCAGAUAUUGGGAGGAACACCAGUGGCGAAGGCGGCUCGCUGGACCGGAACUGACGCUGAGGCGCGAAAGCGUGGGGAGCAAACAGG
RNAcentral lists this ribosomal RNA (253 nucleotides) under uncultured bacterium. RNAcentral's name for it is "partial 16S ribosomal RNA". It matches the Rfam family "Bacterial small subunit ribosomal RNA", at positions 524 to 776 of the family's 1533-position model. The record is from RNAcentral.